RNAcentral lists this ribosomal RNA (1468 nucleotides) under Madapolystoma sp. DNA-981. RNAcentral's name for it is "eukaryotic LSU rRNA". It matches the Rfam family "Eukaryotic large subunit ribosomal RNA", at positions 41 to 960 of the family's 3401-position model. The record is from RNAcentral. Lineage: Eukaryota; Metazoa; Platyhelminthes; Monogenea; Polystomatidea; Polystomatidae.
UAUCACUAAGCGGAGGAAAAGAAACUAACCAGGAUUCCCCUAGUAACGGCGAGUGAACGGUGAUUAGCCCAGCACCGAAGCCUGCAUCUGUUUGGGUGUAAGGCAAUGUGGUGUUUAGGUGAUCAUCAUGUUGAUUCCUCUACUGUUCCAAGUCCAGUAAUGAAUAUGGCUAUAUUAAUGGCCCAGAGAGGGUGAAAGGCCCGUGGGGUCAGUAUUAAGAGGUUUUAACUUGUGAUCUACUUUGGAGUCGGGUUGUUUGUGAAUGCAGCCCAAAUCGGGUGGUAGACUCCAUCUAAGGCUAAAUACUGGCACGAGUCCGAUAGCGAACAAGUACCGUGAGGGAAAGUUGAAAAGAACUCUGAAGAGAGAGUAAACAGUACGUGAAACCGCCUAGAGGUAAACGGGUGUAGUCAAGCUGCAAGCCCUAUGGGGAUUCAAUCGAUCAGUAUGACGUGAGCAUGAGCACAUCAGUUGGCUUGUAAAGUUUGCCUAGACUGGUGAGCCUAAUUCUAUGUAGGAUUGGGUAUUUGUGUAACAUAUGGUUACUGGGUACUUUACUCGACCCAACUACUGAUCGGUGCACUUCCUCAGGGUGUAAGCCACGACCGCCGUUGCUGUCGGUCUGCUGAAAUCAACCGAUUUGAUUUAAAUUGCAAAACAAUUUGCUUCGAAUUGGGAUGGCAGGUAAUUUGAUGUUGUAUGUCUCUUGUAGGCAUUAUAAUGUUAAAUGUUAUAGCCGAUUUCAGUGGCUAUUAAAACUGUACAGUACGGUGGAGAUAUAUCGACGUGUUGGUUAAUGGUAAAGGCGCUAUAGUCUGCCGGCAUGUAAUAAAUUUGAUUAUUUGUUGUCCAAGCUCUGCCUUCGACCUGAUAAUGGUUUAUUCAUGGUGUUGUGGACGGCUGCUUUUAUCAACCAUUCUAUUGAUCUAUUGUACAGAUUCUAAGUUUGCAUUUAGUUGAUAGAAAUUAUCGUCUAUAGUCUGUGGCGUAGUGGUAGACGAUCCACCCGACCCGUCUUGAAACACGGACCAAGGAGUUUAACAUGUACGCGAGUCAAUGGGUGUGAAUUACACGAUACACGAAACCCAGAGGCGUAGUGAAAGUAAAGGUUUUGAUUAUUACAAAUGUGUUAUAUUUAAUUAGUGUAUGAAUGUAACAGUUUAUAUGUGAUCGAAUAUAUGCAUUAUUUGAUGAUAGUCAUACUGAGGUGAGAUCCUAUUGGUACCCAGGCUGAUCUGAUCAUGCAUUAGACCGAUAGGCGCAUCACCGGCCCGUCUCAUGGUGUGCUUCACCGGGGCGGAGCAAGAGCGUACAUGUUGAGACCCGAAAGAUGGUGAACUAUGCUUGCGCAGGUUGAAGCCGGAGGAAACUCUGGUGGAGGACCGUAGCGAUUCUGACGUGCAAAUCGAUCGUAUGACGUGAGUAUAGGGGCGAAAGACUAAUCGAACCAUCUAGUAGCUGGUUCCCU